This 781-nucleotide long non-coding RNA is filed under the name Zostera marina. RNAcentral describes it as "long non-coding RNA (ZMAR_LNC002124)". The record is from RNAcentral. Lineage: Eukaryota; Viridiplantae; Streptophyta; Magnoliopsida; Alismatales; Zosteraceae.
ACCUCUAACUUUUACGGGUAAGUUAGCACCUUAGAGUAUUCAAGGAACUCUUAAAAACCUUUCUAAGCUUUAAGGCUACUACGCUUAGGAACCAGUCUUUUACGGGUAGACUCACACCUUAGAGUAUUACAGGGCACUCUUAAGAACCUCUAACUUUUACGGGUAAGUUAGUACCUUAGAGUAUUCAAGGAACUCUUAAAAACCUUUCUAAGCUUUAAGGCUACUACGCUUAGGAACCAGUCUUUUACGGGUAGACUCACACCUUAGAGUAUUAAAGGGCACUCUUAAGAACCUCUCUAAGCUUUAAGGCUACUUCGCUUAGGAACCAGUCUUUUACAGGUAGACUCACACCUAAGAGUUUUCCCGGAAACUCUAUAAAACCAAACCGAGCUUUAUGGUUGAGCUCACAAACCUUUCCUCACACUUUGGUACUAUUGAGACAACCCUCUCAACCAAAGUGGACACACACAAGAGGUGAUUAGAGGAGUGGAAUAUCAAAGCAAACAACACUUCUUACUUGUACAAAUGAACAAGAAGAUUAGAAGAAGAAGUUGGAGAGCUUUUGAAGCUUUGGAAAGCUAGGACACUUGAGCACUUGGAAGCUUGAAAGCUUGAAGGCAAAAACGUGUGGACAAGUGUGGAGUGGAAGCUCUUGAGUUUGCUUAUGGUGUGGUGAGUGGAAAUGAGGGGAUUACCCUUCUAUUUAUAGCCUUGGCCACUCAAUGUCCAUCCUUGGAUCUUCAAUGGAUGGCUCCUUGAUUUCUCACAUAAAUCCAAGCUU